Molecule: ribosomal RNA, 166 nt
Filed under: Pachycladon cheesemanii
Lineage: Eukaryota; Viridiplantae; Streptophyta; Magnoliopsida; Brassicales; Brassicaceae
Also listed under: 10 other names
Description: 5.8S ribosomal RNA
Rfam family: 5.8S ribosomal RNA
About the family: 5.8S ribosomal RNA (5.8S rRNA) is a component of the large subunit of the eukaryotic ribosome. It is transcribed by RNA polymerase I as part of the 45S precursor that also contains 18S and 28S rRNA. Functionally, it is thought that 5.8S rRNA may be involved in ribosome translocation.
Source: RNAcentral
UCUAAAGUCUAAAACGACUCUCGGCAACGGAUAUCUCGGCUCUCGCAUCGAUGAAGAACGUAGCGAAAUGCGAUACUUGGUGUGAAUUGCAGAAUCCCGUGAACCAUCGAGUCUUUGAACGCAAGUUGCGCCCCAAGCCUUCUGGCCGAGGGCACGUCUGCCUGGG